This 460-nucleotide long non-coding RNA is filed under the name Homo sapiens (human). Its description in RNAcentral is "non-protein coding lnc-ADAMTS9-3:4". Lineage: Eukaryota; Metazoa; Chordata; Mammalia; Primates; Hominidae. The record is from RNAcentral.
UCGGGCCGUCGGACUCCAGACCCCAAGCUCUAACAUACUAUAUGGAGAAAUUAAGGCAUUGAAAAGUCACUUGCCCCAGAUGACACAGCUAGUGGACAGUCGAGGAAAUGUGGGCUCUGGAGUUGAAUCACGAUCUAGAUUCAAAUCUUGGUCCUGCCAUUUGCUGGAGGGACAUGUUUAGGAGGGCAUCCCAGGAGAAGGCAGAGUCCAGGAGGCGGAUGUUGGGAAGCAAAUCCUGAACUCAUCAAGUCCCAUAGCCCCUUUGUCUAUGGACCUUCUGCCAGCAUCUUCUGUAAGAGUAAUGGUUCACCUAUCUCUUGCCCUGGGAGGCUGACACCUGUAGACUGCAUCUCACGCUCUCCUUGGCCAGCUAGCUUCAAGUUGAGUUCAGCUAGAAAACAACCCUGACAAGGAAAUGAGAAGACUAUUAAAAUGCACCAACCCAAGGUCUCCAGUGCUG